AUUGAACGCUGGCGGCAGGCCUAACACAUGCAAGUCGAACGGUAACAGGCAGAAUCUUGCUUCUUUGCUGACGAGUGGCGGACGGGUGAGUAAUGUCUGGGAAACUGCCUGAUGGAGGGGGAUAACUACUGGAAACGGUAACUAAUACCGCAUAACGUCGCAAGACCAAAGAGGGGGACCUUCGGGCCUCUUGCCAUCGGAUGUUCCCCGAUGGUCUUAGCUGGUAGGUGGGGUAACCGCUCACCUAGUCGACCAUUCCUAGCUCGUCUGAGGGGUUGACCGGCCGCCUGAGAACUGGGACACGGUCCAGAGUACUACGGGAGGCAGCAGUGGGGAAUAGUGCACAAUGGGCGCAAGCCUUAUGCAGCGGUGGCGAGUGUAUGAAGAAGGCCUUCGGGUUGUAAAGUACGUUCAGCGGGGAGGAAGGGAGUAAAGCUAAUACCUAUACUCAUUGACGUUAACCGCAGAAGAAGCACCGGCUAACUACGUG
This 490-nucleotide ribosomal RNA is filed under the name uncultured bacterium. Its description in RNAcentral is "partial 16S ribosomal RNA". It matches the Rfam family "Bacterial small subunit ribosomal RNA", at positions 30 to 507 of the family's 1533-position model. The record is from RNAcentral.